RNAcentral lists this long non-coding RNA (5020 nucleotides) under Homo sapiens (human). RNAcentral describes it as "non-protein coding CASC2:15". The record is from RNAcentral. Lineage: Eukaryota; Metazoa; Chordata; Mammalia; Primates; Hominidae.
CAGGGCUCCCCGACUUCCCUAUGGCUGAUGUCAAAACGCCUCGCGGGGGCAGCCCAGGGGCACGGCCGCUCCGGGGGUCCCCUUUCGUCUGGAGAAACACAGAGGCCCACCAUCACCUGGCCGCGCCGUGCAGGCCUCUGCGCGGACCCCCGCCCCUGUCUCCACCUUCCCCAGGCCUGCGGGGCACGUGAGGCCUGGCCACACGGACCCGGGCGGAGGGCUGCGGGGGUGAAGGGAGCCCCCGCCCCAAUUCUGCACCCCUGGCCUCCCGCCUGCCUCCUUGCGGCCGAGCAGCCUCCGCUGCCUCCGCGCCUCCCGCCCGCCCGGCGUUCGUCCGCAGGCUCGGCCCGGCUCCUCCUCCCGACCCCGGUAAUACGAACCGCCGGCGGCUAACGCGGCCUCGCUCCCUCUCGCAAACCUCUCCCUCCUCCUCCUCCCCCUCGCCUCAGCUCCUCCUCUCGGGCGGGAGCGGGUAGCCAGGGGUGGAGUGGGGGAGGGCGGGGAACGCGGCCGCCCCGGCGCCGGCGGGACGUGGGGCGGGCAGCGGGCUGCAGGGCUGCGGGCGCUUGGUUCGGCCUGGCCCGGCCGGCGGCUCCUAACACCGGGCGGGCGGCUGCGGCGGCACUUCCGGGUUGGCCUUCUCCAUGUUGGUCUCGGGAACGUGAAGGGGCGGGGCCUCGAGGUCAGGGGUCAGCACCUCCCUGGUUGCCGUGGCGACUGGAGGCGCGCGACGCGGGCGCAAUGGCGGGGACCCGGGGCUUGAUGCUGCUUGGGCCUGGCCCAGUGGCGGGUCCUAGGGACGUGGGUACCUGCAGAGGCCGGCAGAUGGAGAUUCAGAAACAUAAGGACAACAAGAAACUUCCCCAAGGUAUCAUUAUAGUCUUUAGACUUCAGACACACACCACACCUCAAAUAUAUACACAACUGAAAGGAAAAUUAAGGAAGUUUUUCAAAGAACCCUAUUCCGAGUAAGAAGUGUGUUGCAUGAAUUUCUAAGAGCCAGAAAAUGCAUGACACAGGAGAAGAUGUACCCUCAUCUGUUCAGUGAGAGAUGUGCAAAUCAACAUCAACACAGAACUGCUGAAGAAAAAAAAUAUGUCUCUGAAAAGCAACUUAUUCACUGGAGAUGUGAGGAGCCAUCCGCACAUCACAAUUCUAUAGACAUCAAACGCAUGAAGCAUUUCGGAUCUGCUUUAAGACUGAGGCAGACUUUCCAUCUGGACACAGCCGACCAUCCAUGUGUCAUUACAAUGAAUCCAGCACUUCCCUGGAAGCUGGAAGGGUCAAAUUCAACUUCAACUCUGCCACUUCCUGCUUAACUUGCUGUUUAACCUUGGGCAAGCUGCCAUCCCACACGAGGCCGAAGGUGUCGGUUUUUAAAAUACAGAAAUUUGGUUCCAUGAGGGAUUAUCAAUAUACUGCUGGUGGGCCAAAUUCCAUCUGCUACUUGCCUUUGUAAAUAAAGUUUUAUUGAAACACAAACAUGCCCAUUAGUUUACUCUUGUCUGUGACUACAAGGGCAAAGUUGAAUAGUUGUUACAGAGACCAUCAGGCUCACAAAGCCUAGGUUAUUUACUAUCUGCCCAUUUACAGAGUAAGUUUGCCAGCCCUGGACUGGAUAAUUUUUUGAGUUCUUUCUAAUUCUAGAAUUCUUUAUAUAUUUUAUGAAACCCCUAAUGUUUAUAUAUUAAUUAUUUCAAUACCCGUGUCUUUACUGAGUCCCUCCUAUGAAGCAUACAUCAAGACAUAUGUGUGAUACAUUAACUAAACUUUUAACAGUAUCUUAAAUAGGAUUUCAAUGACUAACAGCUCUUGGAAAUAUCCAAGGUAACAUUUGGGGGCAAAUGUCUUAUGAUUUGAUUAUCAUUGGUAAAUAGAGCAUAUCUUUUUUUCCACUAACAAUGUUUAAGAAGUUAAAAAAAAAUCAAGAAAACCCCGUAUGGCACUAGAGACUUAUUGCAUUAAGACAUCAUCUUAACAGAUUGUUUAGUUUUGGUAAUAUAAUUUGACAUCUAAACAUAAGCUGAGAGGGAUCUCCCUCAAAACCUUUGAUAAUAUGAUUCAUUGUCAAAUGUUUGUUUUGCCUAUCUGGCACUCAUUAAUUAAUUCUUUUUAAUAUAGCUUGGAUUUACUGAUUUUGAAAAAGAGAAUUAUUCUUAUUGAUGUUGCUAAAAUAUCCAGGUGGCUUGAAUUUCACCAACUAGAUAGUUUAAUCUAGCACAUUUGUGUAGCCCUAAUCAAAUCUUUACUAACAGAUGUGAGAAGCCCAGUACUGGAGCUAAUGUUUGUGUCUCAAUGAUAAUUAAAUUAGCUUAAUAAGGAAAAUAAAUGAACAAUAAUCACCAAAAUUUUUCCCUAAACCUGUGUUAUAGUCUUAAAAACAUUUUUUCCCCUAUGGAGGCUUUUGGUAAUAAAACACAAAUUGAGGGAUUUUAAUUAAAAGAAAUUUUUUUUUCAAGAACUGGUCAUGUACUAAAUUGCUUAUAAUCAAAUAAUCAAGUAGCAUUUCUUUUAUUAUAAGAGCAAAACCUAUAAUUAAGCCAAAAUUCAAAUUUGUUUUUAAAGGUUGAAUAAUCUUUUGUUUUGGCCAAUAGUAUGUGGAUUUUUUUUUUAAGUAUUAUCUCUUUGUAGUAUUUUCUAAUGGAUAGGAAAUGCCUUUCUCAGGUUGAAUGAUUAUUUCCACAUAGAAUUAGUUCCUGCUUACAACAGUGCUCCACUAAUGUAAUGGCUCGGUGAAUUGGCUUUAUAAUUCAUUAAUCAUAGCUCACAUUGAGCUUUUGGCUCCAGGUGACAGUGCCCACCACAGGCCAAAUAACUUCUCAUUUAAAGGCAAUUUGUACAAAUAGGGAAGGUGAGAAUUCUCACAGUCCCAGAGGGAUUGAAGAGUUUUAAAAAACCAAGAUAAGGCAUUUUAUGGAAGACAGGUUGAUGGAAGAAAAGUGGCCAUUGGAGGAUGAGGCAGAUGGCUUUCCAGGGAGGCCCUGGAGCUGCCACCAUGGGGAAGGCCAUGUUGCAGCUGCUGAUCAGAGCACAUUGGACGGUGUUUCCGUGUGAACAUGAAGACAAUGCUGCCUCUGUUUCUGUGACGCUGUGCUCUGAUCUUGCUGGAGGCGAAGUGGUGUCAGCUGUGCUUACAGGACAGUCAGUGGUGGUAGAAAAGAGGCCAGUGUGACCUGUGAAGGACUGGGCCCCUCUCACUCAACCUGAGUGCCUGCAGUUGUGGCCACCUUUAUUUGUGUAUUCUACUGUAUUUAUUUAUUUGCCUGGCUAAUUAGCUCUGUGCCACAUUCCUAAGCUAGAUGUGUCCCUUCAUGUAAGUGAGAGGGAGACAGAAAGAAAGACUGAGGUGGGGGGUAGGAGAAAGAGAGGAAAGCAAGCAAGAAGAAAGAGAAAGAGAGAAGAAGAAAGGAAGAGGAAAGAAAGAGAGAAAGAGAAAGAGAAGGAAGGAAGGAGAAAGAGAAGGAAAGAAGGAGCCUUCUAAUUUUAUUUCAUUUCUCCAAUAAAUGUUCCUAUAUUAAGACUUUAGACAAAGAUUAGAAAUAUGAUUUGACAGAAAGUGUAUGGAUGUGUUGUUCUAUUGCAUUGUAAGUAAAGUAUCCAUGGCAAUAUACAAAUAAUACAGCUCCUACCCCUAUUCUCUGUUGUUACUUUCAUGUGUUGUCUUAACUUUUUAAAUUUCAAGAUAAUAUUGCGCUUAUUUAUUUUUCCAUGAGGAGGCCUAGGAUUUAGCUUGAUUAGAAAAGCUGUGGAAAAUGAAUGUGCUAAUUACUUUAAAUCAAAUUGAAAAUAAAUUUUAUCCUGUUUCAUGCAAAACAUAGUGUAUUUGACUGUUAGUUCAUUCAACUAAUAAAACCAAUUAUGUCUAUAAGUGAUUGGGCACUUAAUAAGCCAGCCCCUGUCCUAAUGCUUUCUUUAUCUCAUAUAAUUCACAUCAUGAAGCGAUGGGAAGAUCUCAAGUGACCCAUUAGCCAGAAGAGGAAAUCAAGCCUGCUAUCAAGACUAAUGCUGGGAGAAUUUCUCCAGGGCACUUAGGUGCUUCUUUUGCAGGAAAAUUUAAGAUCCAUGCCUCCUGCCACACAAGCAUUGGAAGAGAUCAAAGGCCACCCCUGGAAGCUCAAGAGGGAAGGACCAGGAGAGUCCAUGGGGGGCAUGGGCAAAUAUCAAAACCUACGUUUUCUACUAAGUAAAUACCUCCGAUUCACAUCUCACUGGUUCUGGGGAAGCAGAGCGACCACUCUGUAUAAAACAGCAAACUGAGAAAGAGAUCGAUAGGUCAUCAAAGCCACCUGCUUGCUUGGUGGCCCCUCAAGUUGUCUUCUGCUCAGAAGUUCUGAGAGUUGAUGAAAGUUAUCAUCGAAAGUACCCAGUCCAGCUCAGGCCAGUCCAUAUUGCUGCCAAGUAAACUAUUUUUAAAGUUCUUGGGGUUUUGAAAAAUAUUCUGACUGGUGGCUGGGCAUGGUGGCUCACACCUGCAAUCCCAGCACUUUGGGAGGCCAAGGCAGGCAGAUCACCUGAGGUCACGAGUUUGAGAUCAGCCUGGCCUACACAGUGAAACCCCAUCUCUACUAAAAAUACAAAAAUUAGGCAGGUGUGGUGGCACACGCCUGUAAUCCCAGCUACUUGGGAGGCUGAGGCAGGAGAACCACUUGAACCCAGGAGGUGGAGGAUGCAGUGAGCCAAGAUCACGUCACUGCACUCCAGCCUGGGUGACAGAGCGAAACUCCAUCUCAGAGAAAAAAAAGAAAAGAAAAAAGAAAAAUAUUUGACUGGAGGGUUAGCUGUAUUCCUUACUUUCUCUUUAUUCCCACCCCACCACUCCAAAAAACACUGGCUCAGUGACCAGGCCGCUGAUAGCACAAUGUGCUUUCUCACAUGGAGAGGAGGCGAAGCUUCAGCAUGUGAAUUGUAUUCUCCACAACAUAUGGUGGAGAAAACAGACAGUGGGAAGGGGAGUGAUUUGUGACUGUUCAUCCCAAACUGCGUUCUAUUGUGUUGCCAAAAAUGAUAGACUUAAAUAAAU